AUUGAACGCUGGCGGCAUGCCUUACACAUGCAAGUCGAACGGCAGCACGGGUGCUUGCACCUGGUGGCGAGUGGCGAACGGGUGAGUAAUACAUCGGAACAUGUCCUGUAGUGGGGGAUAGCCCGGCGAAAGCCGGAUUAAUACCGCAUACGAUCUACGGAUGACAGCGGGGGACCUUCGGGCCUCGCGCUAUAGGGUUGGCCGAUGGCUGAUUAGCUAGUUGGUGGGGUAAAGGCCUACCAAGGCGACGAUCAGUAGCUGGUCUGAGAGGACGACCAGCCACACUGGGACUGAGACACGGCCCAGACUCCUACGGGAGGCAGCAGUGGGGAAUUUUGGACAAUGGGCGAAAGCCUGAUCCAGCAAUGCCGCGUGUGUGAAGAAGGCCUUCGGGUUGUAAUGCACUUUUGUCCGGAAAGAAAUCCUUGGCCCUAAUACGGUCGGGGGAUGACGGUACCGGAAGAAUAAGCACCGGCUAACUACGUG
Molecule: ribosomal RNA, 486 nt
Filed under: uncultured bacterium
Lineage: Bacteria
Description: partial 16S ribosomal RNA
Rfam family: Bacterial small subunit ribosomal RNA
Source: RNAcentral